CCUACGGGAGGCAGCAGUGGGGAAUAUUGGGCAAUGGAGGAAACUCUGACCCAGCGACGCCGCGUGCGGGAUGAAGGCCUUCGGGUUGUAAACCGCUUUCAGUAGGGAAGAAGCGAAAGUGACGGUACCUACAAAAGAAGCACCGGCUAACUAUGUGCCAGCAGCCGCGGUAAUACAUAGGGUGCAAGCGUUGUCCGGAAUUAUUGGGCGUAAAGAGCUCGUAGGUCGUUUGUUACGUCGGAUGUGAAAACCUGAGGCUCAACCUCAGGCCUGCAUUCGAUACGGGCAAACUAGAGUUUGGUAGGGGAGACUGGAAUUCCUGGUGUAGCGGUGGAAUGCGCAGAUAUCAGGAGGAACACCAAUGGCGAAGGCAGGUCUCUGGGCCAAUACUGACACUGAGGAGCGAAAGUCUGGGGAGCGAACAGGAUUAGAUACCCUGGUAGUCCAGACCGUAAACGGUGGGCACUAGUUGUGGGAACCUUCCACGGUUUCUGCGACGCAGCUAACGCAUUAAGUGCCCCGCCUGGGGAGUACGAUCGCAAGAUUAAAACUCAAAUGAAAUUGACGG
RNAcentral lists this ribosomal RNA (568 nucleotides) under uncultured bacterium. RNAcentral's name for it is "bacterial SSU rRNA". It matches the Rfam family "Bacterial small subunit ribosomal RNA", at positions 338 to 916 of the family's 1533-position model. The record is from RNAcentral.